RNAcentral lists this ribosomal RNA (1354 nucleotides) under metagenome. RNAcentral's name for it is "bacterial LSU rRNA". It matches the Rfam family "Bacterial large subunit ribosomal RNA", at positions 1567 to 2913 of the family's 2925-position model. The record is from RNAcentral.
UGAUGGGAAAGCUUGCUUUUCUAUUUAGCCUUAAUCCAACUUCCAAGAAAAGCUCGAACUACUUUACAAUAAAAAUAACCUGUACCCUAAACCGACACAGGUAGGUAGGUAGAGAAUACUAAGGGACGCGAGAUAACUCUCUCUAAGGAACUCGGCAAAAUGGCUCCGUAACUUCGGUAGAAGGGGUGGCUAACCUUGAUCAUUUUUUGAUUUUGGUGCUCGCAGUGACCAGGCCCAGGCGACUGUUUAUCAAAAACACAGGUCUCCGCAAAGUUGCAAAACGACGUAUGGGGGCUGACGCCUGCCCAGUGCCGGAAGGUAAAAGAAGUUGGUUAUCCCUCGCUAAGAGAAGAGAAGCUGACGACUGAAGCCCCGGUAAACGGCGGCUGUAACACUGACAGUCCUAAGGUAGCGAAAUUCCUUGUCAAGUAAGUUUUGACCCGCACGAAAGGCGUAACGAUCUGGGCACUGUCUCGGAGAGAGACUCGGUGAAAUAGAAAUGUCUGUGAAGAUGCGGACUACCUAUACCAGGACAGAAAGACCCUAUGAAGCUUGAAGGUAGCUUGGAAUUGGGUUUGGGCUCUUUUUGCGCAGUCUAGGUGGAGGCGUUGAUAAUAGGCUUUCGGACCUAUUGGAGCCAUCAGUGAGAGACCACUCUGAAAGAGCUAGAAUCCUAAUAGUACUCCUUGAAUCAGGAUACUUGACAGUUUCAGGCGGACCUUUUUUCUGGGGCGGAUGCCUCCUAAAAGGUAACGGAGGCGUGCAAAGGUUCCCUCAGGCUGGACGGAAAUCAGCUGUAGAGUGUAAAGGUAGAAGGGAGCUUGACUGCAAGACCUACAAGUCGAGCAGGUGCGAAAGCCGGCCUUAGUGAUCCGACGGUACCGAGUGGAAGGGCCGUCGCUCAACGGAUAAAAGUUACUCUAGGAUAACAGGCUAAUCUCCCCCAAGAGUUCGCAUCGACGGGGAGGUUUGGCACCUCGAUGUCGGCUCAUCGCAACCUGGGGCUGUAGUCGGUCCCAAGGGUUGGGCUGUUCGCCCAUGAAAGCGGUACGUGAGCUGGGUUCAGAACGUCGUGAGACAGUUCGGUCCAUAUCCGGUAUAGGCGUAAGAGCAUUGAGAGGCGUUCAACAUUGUACGAGAGGACCCGAAGGGAUGUACAGAUGGUGUACCAGUUCUCGUGCCAACGGGAAACGCUGGGUAGCUAAGUACAGAAUGGAUAAUCGCUGAAAGCAUCUAAGUGAGAAGCCUACCUCAAGAUGAAUGCUCUCUAUGAGAUCGCGGCAAGAGAAGCCGAUGAUAGGCAUCAAGUGUAAGAUCCGUAAUGGUUUCAGCUGAGAUGUACUAAUUGAUCCGU